Molecule: transfer RNA, 74 nt
Filed under: Halarchaeum rubridurum
Lineage: Archaea; Methanobacteriati; Methanobacteriota; Halobacteria; Halobacteriales; Halobacteriaceae
Also listed under: 1 other name
Description: tRNA-Pro
Source: RNAcentral
GGGGCCGUGGGGUAGCUUGGUAUCCUCGGCGGAUGGGGUCCGUCGGACUUGAGUUCGAAUCUCAACGGUCCCAC